GACGAACGCUGGCGGUGUGCUUAACACAUGCAAGUCGAACGGUAAGGCCCUUUCGGGGGUACACGAGUGGCGAACGGGUGAGUAACACGUGAGUAACCUGCCCUCAUCUCUGGGAUAACAGUCGGAAACGGUUGCUAAUACUGGAAAUGAGCUUGCAAGGCAUCUUUUGGGUUGGAAGGUUUUUUUUGGUUGGGGAUGGACUCGCGGCCUAUCAGCUUGUUGGUGAGGUAGUGCCUCACCAAGGCUUCGACGGGUAGCCGGCCUGGGAGGGCGACCGGCCACAUUGGGACUGAGAUACGGCCCAAACUCCUACGGGAGGCAGCAGUGGGGAAUAUUGCACAAUGGACGGAAGUCUGAUGCAGCAACGCCGCGUGCGGGAUGACGGCCUUCGGGUUGUAAACCGCUUUCAAUUGUGACGAAGCUUUUUGUGACGGUAGCAGUAGAAGAAGCACCGGCUAACUACGUG
RNAcentral lists this ribosomal RNA (466 nucleotides) under uncultured bacterium. RNAcentral's name for it is "partial 16S ribosomal RNA". It matches the Rfam family "Bacterial small subunit ribosomal RNA", at positions 28 to 507 of the family's 1533-position model. The record is from RNAcentral.